UACGUAGGGUGCGGGCGUUAAUCGGGAUUACUGGGCGUAAAGCGUGCGUAGGCGGCGCUGUAAGACAGAUGUGAAAUCCCCGGGCUCAACCUGGGAACUGCAUUUGUGACUGCAGUGCUAGAGUGUGUCAGAGGGGGGUGGAAUUCCACGUGUAGCAGUGAAAUGCGUAGAGAUGUGGAGGAACACCGAUGGCGAAGGCAGCCCCCUGGGAUAACACUGACGCUCAGGCACGAAAGCGUGGGGAGCAAACAGG
This 253-nucleotide unclassified non-coding RNA is filed under the name uncultured Gammaproteobacteria bacterium. Its description in RNAcentral is "contains 16S-23S intergenic spacer region". It matches the Rfam family "Bacterial small subunit ribosomal RNA", at positions 524 to 776 of the family's 1533-position model. The record is from RNAcentral. Lineage: Bacteria; Pseudomonadati; Pseudomonadota; Gammaproteobacteria.